This 227-nucleotide ribosomal RNA is filed under the name uncultured bacterium. RNAcentral's name for it is "partial 16S ribosomal RNA". It matches the Rfam family "Bacterial small subunit ribosomal RNA", at positions 15 to 231 of the family's 1533-position model. The record is from RNAcentral.
GAUCAUGGCUCAGGAUGAACGCUAGCUACAGGCUUAACACAUGCAAGUCGAGGGGCAGCAUGGUCUUAGCUUGCUAAGGCCGAUGGCGACCGGCGCACGGGUGAGUAACACGUAUCCAACCUGCCGUCUACUCUUGGACAGCCUUCUGAAAGGAAGAUUAAUCCAGGAUGGGAUCAUGAGUUCACAUGUCCGCAUGAUUAAAGGUAUUUUCCGGUAGACGAUGGGGA